This 253-nucleotide ribosomal RNA is filed under the name uncultured bacterium. RNAcentral's name for it is "partial 16S ribosomal RNA". It matches the Rfam family "Bacterial small subunit ribosomal RNA", at positions 524 to 776 of the family's 1533-position model. The record is from RNAcentral.
UACGUAGGGUGCAAGCGUUAUUCGGAUUUACUGGGCGUAAAGAGUGUGUAGGCGGCUUUAUAAGUUAGAUGUUAAAUAUACGGGCUCAACCCGUCUGCUGCAUCUAAGACUGUAAGGCUUGAGAGUGGAAGAGGCAAAUGGAAUUUCUGGUGGAGCGGUUAAAUGCGUAGAUAUCAGAAGGAACACCAAUGGCGAAGGCAGUUUGCUGGGCCAUUUCUGACGCUGAGACACGAAAGCGUGGGGAGCGAUCGGG